This is a long non-coding RNA of Equus quagga, 1448 nucleotides long. RefSeq lists it as uncharacterized. Lineage: Eukaryota; Metazoa; Chordata; Mammalia; Perissodactyla; Equidae. The transcript is spliced from 3 exons. The record is from RefSeq and is a predicted model, not a curated record.
GAGAAACUGGGCUGAGGGGCGGGGAGCCAAAAUGUAGCAAUUCCAGGAAGACCGUGGGGUCAGCUGAGGUGGGGGGCUGAGGGCAGGCAGACCCCUCAGGACAAUCACACUCAGAACAUUAGAGCUGGAAGGGCCUCGGGUAUCCCAGCGAUGGUGGAACCCCACCCCCUCUUCCUCUUUUCGAGGGGACCAGAGAGUAGCAGGAACUCGUGUGUGGUCACACAGUGAGUCACAUCACGUCCAGGGGAACACUGGCUCUUCCCACUACCCAACCUGACUUUCUGGGUCCCCUGCUCCCAGGACCAGGGCAGUGGUCCAUUUCAGAGGCCCUGCCACCUCAGAGUCAACUCCCCCCUCACACCCCCUUCAGAGGGCAACGGAAGGGAGGCCAAGCCCCCUUUGCCCAGACAGCAAUAUUACCCAAGAUGCCUUCCUCAGCCUCUGAGCACAGAAUCUGCCCCUGAAUCCUGAGACCCCACUGGACUGCUGGCUCUGUGCUGGGCACUGGGGGCACUCUUGCCCUGCUCUGCAGGAUGUGAUCCUCACACUCUUUUCAUGAAAUGCUAUCUGGGCCCUUGGUAGUGGGCAAAUGUGUGUAUAUGCGAGGGUGCGUGUGCGCAUCUGUGUGUGUGUCCCACACACAACCCAGAUGGGGGGUGACGCACAUUAGUGAUGAAUAACUCACUCUGGCCACAUGGAUGCUGCAGGGUGGUGAGCAGAAUGUGGGCCAGCAGUGGUUGUACGGCCCUGCAUGGGCCGCCAGAGCUCUGCUUUGGGGAGGUUAGAGGGAAAUGGGGUGGUGUUGGACAGCACCCAACAGACUGGAGAGUGGGGGGCAUUCUCGUUCCCCACGGGAGAGGCAGGUUGUGCCUCUCUCCACGCAGGGCCAUAUCCCAAGGCCAGCUCCUCCACUAGGCCAAGCUGGCUACUUGCCCUGAACUCCUCCCAUGAUCUCAGCCCCCCAGGGGCAGGGCGGGGACAAUGGGUGGGCCGCCUGCCUGCUUAGCCUGUGCUGGCCUCUCUUGUGACUGACCUGCAAGACAUGAGAGCUUGUCUCCCGCGUCCAUCCCUCCAGGCCUGGCUGCCCGCCAGUGCUGCAGUACCAUGGCAUGGACGCCUGGCCAUCUUGUCCCCUCCUCCAGCCCCCAGGUUCCUGCCAAGCACACCUUCACAAGUGCCCUCUCGUCACUACAGCUCACUGCGCUUCCCAGACCUCGACCCCUGGCAUGGGCCUGCCGCUUUCACCACAUCAGCUUUGCUCCUGACGGGCCGAACGUGGCUAACCAUGGCUAACCGAGUGACCUGAGACUUGCCUGACCUUUCUUGUCUCACUCAUCUCCAGAUGGGAAAACCAAGGCUCAGAGAGGGGCAGUGAUUUGCCCUGAGGCACAUAGCUGGUGAGUGGCAAAGUCUGAAUGGGGACCCAGGUCACUUCAGCACACCACAUG